GACGAACGCUGGCGGCGUGCUUAAUACAUGCAAGUCGAACGGUGAACGAGGGAGCUUGCUCCCUCCGGAUCAGUGGCGAACGGGUGAGUAACACGUGAGCAAUCUGCCCCGAACUCUGGGAUAAGCGUUGGAAACGACGUCUAAUACCGGAUACGACGCGGGAGGGCAUCCUCUCCGCGUGGAAAGAACUUCGGUUCGGGAUGAGCUCGCGGCCUAUCAGCUUGUUGGUGAGGUAACGGCUCACCAAGGCGACGACGGGUAGCCGGCCUGAGAGGGUGACCGGCCACACUGGGACUGAGACACGGCCCAGACUCCUACGGGAGGCAGCAGUGGGGAAUAUUGCACAAUGGGCGCAAGCCUGAUGCAGCAACGCCGCGUGAGGGACGACGGCCUUCGGGUUGUAAACCUCUUUUAGCAGGGAAGAAGCGAAAGUGACGGUACCUGCAGAAAAAGCACCGGCUAACUACGUG
RNAcentral lists this ribosomal RNA (470 nucleotides) under uncultured bacterium. RNAcentral's name for it is "partial 16S ribosomal RNA". It matches the Rfam family "Bacterial small subunit ribosomal RNA", at positions 28 to 507 of the family's 1533-position model. The record is from RNAcentral.